Molecule: ribosomal RNA, 200 nt
Filed under: uncultured bacterium
Lineage: Bacteria
Description: partial 16S ribosomal RNA
Rfam family: Bacterial small subunit ribosomal RNA
Source: RNAcentral
AGAGUUUGAUCCUGGCUCAGGAUGAACGCUAGCGGCAGGCUUAAUACAUGCAAGUCGAGGGGCAGCGCGGGUAGCAAUACCUGGCGGCGACCGGCAAACGGGUGCGGAACACGUACGCAACCUUCCCAAAACUGGUGAAUAGCCCUCCGAAAGGAGGAUUAAUACACCGUAACAUAGUGAAUCGGCAUCGUUUUACUAUU